ACUCAAAGGAAUUGACGGGGACCCGCACAAGCAGCGGAGCGUGUGGUUUAAUUCGAUGCAACGCGAAGAACCUUACCAGGACUUGACAUGCAACUGCACCACCCCUAAUCGGGUGUCCCGUUCGCGGGCGAUUGCACAGGUGCUGCAUGGCUGUCGUCAGCUCGUGUCGUGAGAUGUUGGGUUCAGUCCCGCAACGAGCGCAACCCCUGCCACUAGUUAGGAUGUCUAGUGGGACCGCCGCGAUCAACGCGGAGGAAGGCGGGGAUGACGUCAAGUCAGCACGGCCCUUACGUCCUGGGCUACACACACGCUACAAUGGUCGGAAACAACGGGUUGCCAACCCGCGAGGGGGAGCGAAUCCCAGCAAAACCGGCCUCAGUUCAGAUUGCAGGCUGCAACUCGCCUGCAUGAAGGAGGAGUUGCUAGUAACCGUGGGUCAGCACACUACGGUGAAUACGUUCCCGGGUCUUGCACACACCGCCCGU
RNAcentral lists this ribosomal RNA (485 nucleotides) under uncultured bacterium. RNAcentral's name for it is "partial 16S ribosomal RNA". It matches the Rfam family "Bacterial small subunit ribosomal RNA", at positions 899 to 1397 of the family's 1533-position model. The record is from RNAcentral.